RNAcentral lists this ribosomal RNA (1338 nucleotides) under Triticum aestivum (bread wheat). Its description in RNAcentral is "partial small subunit ribosomal RNA". The record is from RNAcentral. Lineage: Eukaryota; Viridiplantae; Streptophyta; Magnoliopsida; Poales; Poaceae.
AUGGUAAUCCACUCCUCAUCGAGCCUCAGCCGCGGCGGCAGCAGCAACCCCCCGGCGCUGCUCGACGCGCUACUGCUCCCUCUGCCAAUGCCGUCCAACUUCUCUCCAUCUGAUCUCACAUGCGCACGAUCCUUGAUUUCAGUACAGGCCGGAACCAACGCGUACGUACGUUGUGGUAAAAAGAUGGAGACGGCGCCGGGUGUUGUGGGGCUGUGCGACGACGUCCUGGUGGAGAUCCUUGUCCGUCUCCCGUCCAAGUCGGUGCUCCGCUGCCGCGCCGUGUGCAAGAGAUGGCGCCGCAUCACCACCGACGGCUCCUUCCUGGCCGCCCACGCUGCCCACGCGGCCAGCUGCACGCGCGAGAUGAUCAUCCGCCCCGGGCACGUGUAUGACCCUAGCUCCUUAUUGGCCGUGGAAACCAUCCGUCUAUCUCUUGAUCCCAGGCCUAGGCCGAUCCGCUUUCUUUGCAACCGAACCCAUCUAAUGUGGUGCCGAGUAUUGUAUUCUCUGGACGGCCUGCUGGUGUUGCGGCCACGACCCAGCCGCUACAUUAUCUGCAACCCGAUGACCAGACAGUCAGCCAGCUUGCCGCCGUUGGCUCCACAGCCGUGCUUCACCGCCUGUGCCUGCGGCUUUUACUUGCACGGCUCCUCCAACGAGUAUCGCCUCUUGUGCCAUUGCUUGCAAGGAGAAGCCAGGGAGCACUCCUACUACAUCCUCUCCACUGCCAGCACCUUGCCUCGACGACUGGGCCGCGCACCAACUCCAGCAGACCUACCCACCAGCUGGGUCCGGUAUGAAGUUCCUGUGGCUCACCGCGGCAUCCUCCAUUGGUUCUCUGAGCACUCGGAAGCUACCCGCACCGGCAAGAUGCUGGCGUUCCAUACGGUUUCCGAGACGUUCCGCCUCAUGUCGCGGCCGCCGGAGCGACCCGGCGAUACUACCACAAGCUGGAGCUUGUUCGAGCUAGACGGCGAGCUCUGCGUCGCGGCUAUGCAAAGCGAGACAUCGCUGGACAUCUGGGUGUUGCAGGACUACAAGGCGGAGAGCUGGAUGCUGCGCCAUCGGGUCACAAUGUUGGGUGGCAGCAACGCUGUGACGAUGACAAUGGUAGUCUCCGUUGGAAGCGGCGCCAUCCUCAUUGGAAGUCGCUAUUGCGAUGUGGCCAGAUUGUACAAUCUCAAAGACAAGAAGACGCACAAGGAUGUAAUCUUCGGCCCCUCAUUACCCACCUUCUUGCUAUUCAGUGAGAGCCUCGUGUCGCAUGCCUUCUUCGAUUCGCCUCCGCACCCUGGCUUUGAAUCCAUAAGCUUCUCUCCUCGCAGAGGAGGUAGCUAG